GAUGAGAACGUAGCGAAAUGCGAUACGUAAUGUGAAUUGCAGAAUUCAGUGAAUCAUCGAAUCUUUGAACGCAUAUUGCGCUCUCUGGUAUUCCGGAGAGCAUGCUUGUUUGAGUAUCAGUAAACACCUCAACUUCCAUAUCUUUUUUGAAAUGGGAGUUGGACUUGAGUGAUCCCAACGCUUUUCCUCACCGAAAAGUGGCGGGUUACUUGAAAUGCAGGUGCAGCUGGACUUUUCUCUGAGCUAUAAGCAUAUCUAUUUAGUCUGCCUAAAAAACAGAUUAUUACCUUUGCUGCAGCUAACAUAAAGGAGAUUAGUUCUUGUGCUGACUGAUGCAGGAUUCACAAAGACAGGCUUCGGCCGACUUUGUAAACUCGAUCUCAAAUCAAGUAAGUCUACCCGCUGAACUUAAGCAUAUCAAUAAGCGGAGGA
This 432-nucleotide unclassified non-coding RNA is filed under the name soil metagenome. RNAcentral's name for it is "partial contains 5.8S ribosomal RNA, internal transcribed spacer 2, and large subunit ribosomal RNA". The stretch from base 5 to 119 matches the Rfam family "5.8S ribosomal RNA", at positions 40 to 154 of the family's 154-position model. The record is from RNAcentral.